GUGCUCUCUUCGGCAGCACAUACACUAAAAUUGAAACGAUACAGAGGUUAGCAUGGCCCCUUCGCAAGGAUGACAUGCAAAUUUGUGAAAUAUUCCUUUUUGGU
This is a small nuclear RNA of Jaculus jaculus (lesser Egyptian jerboa), 104 nucleotides long. The record is from Ensembl. Lineage: Eukaryota; Metazoa; Chordata; Mammalia; Rodentia; Dipodidae.